AUGGCGAGCGUGAAGGUGUUCGGGUCGCCGAUGUCGGCGGAGGUGGCGCGCGUGCUCAUGUGCCUGUUCGAGAAGGACGUGGAGUUCCAGCUGAUCCGCGUCGACGCCUACCGCGGCCCCAAACGCAUGCCCCAGUACCUCAAGCUCCAGCCCCUCGGCGAGGCGCUCACCUUCGAGGACGGCAGCCUCACCCUCUCCGAGUCGCGGGGCAUCCUGCGGCACAUCUCGCACAAGUACGCCAUGCAGGGCAACCCAGACCUGAUCGGCACGGGGGCGCUGGAGCGCGCGUCCAUCGAGCAGUGGCUGCAGACUGAGGCGCAGAGCUUCGACGAGCCCAGCGCCCAGAUGGUCUACAGCCUCGCCUUCCUGCCGCCUGCCAUGCCGCAGAAGCUCAACAACGGCGACGGCGACGGCAACGGCAACAGCAACGGCAGUAAUGGCACCAGGGCCGUGGUGAACGCGUCGGCGAAGCGCGUGACGGCGGCGGGGGCGGCCAAGGAGGAGGAGAUGCGGAAGCUGUUCGAGAAGAGCCAGAGGGAGCUGGAGAAGCUGCUGGACAUCUACGAGCAGCGCCUGGAGGAGGCGGAGUACCUGGCCGGCGACAAGUUCACCAUCGCCGACCUGUCGCACCUGCCCAACGCCGACCGCCUCGCCGCCGACCCGCGCUCCCGCCGCAUGUUCCAGCGCCGCAAGAACGUCAGCCGCUGGUGGGACAAGGUCUCGCAGCGGGAGGCCUGGACCUACGUCAAGAGCCUGCAGCGCCCGCCCACGUCCAACGGCGCCGGCGCCGACGCCGCUGCCGCGAAGAACCAGCAGCAGCCGCGGUCCGGCGAGGCGCGCGACGGCAGCAGCGACAGCCACAACUACCAGCGCGACCAGUACGCCGACGCGAGCGACGGCGGCAGCAACUACCAGCGCAGCCAGUACGGCGAGCACAGAGACUACCAGCAGAGCCGGACGGGCGACGCGCGGUACUGA
RNAcentral lists this ribosomal RNA (978 nucleotides) under Triticum aestivum (bread wheat). RNAcentral's name for it is "partial small subunit ribosomal RNA". The record is from RNAcentral. Lineage: Eukaryota; Viridiplantae; Streptophyta; Magnoliopsida; Poales; Poaceae.